RNAcentral lists this ribosomal RNA (374 nucleotides) under uncultured organism. RNAcentral's name for it is "partial 16S ribosomal RNA". It matches the Rfam family "Bacterial small subunit ribosomal RNA", at positions 527 to 896 of the family's 1533-position model. The record is from RNAcentral.
GUAGGUGGCAAGCGUUGUCCGGAAUUAUUGGGCGUAAAGCGCGCGCAGGUGGUUCUUUAAGUCUGAUGUGAAAGCCCCCGGCUCAACCGGGGAGGGUCAUUGGAAACUGGGGAACUUGAGUGCAGGAGAGGAAAGUGGAAUUCCACGUGUAGCGGUGAAAUGCGUAGAUAUGUGGAGGAACACCAGUGGCGAAGGCGACUUUCUGGCCUGUAACUGACACUGAGACGCGAAAGCGUGGGGAGCAAACAGGGAUUAGAUACCCUGGUAGUCCACGCCGUAAACGAUGAGUGCUAAGUGUUGGGGGGGUUUCCCGCCCCUCAGUGCUGCAGCUAACGCAUUAAGCACUCCGCCUGGGGAGUACGGUCGCAAGACUG